Non-coding RNA from Pelobates cultripes (western spadefoot toad), 1078 nucleotides. NCBI's taxonomy places the organism in Eukaryota, Metazoa, Chordata, Amphibia, Anura, Pelobatidae. The record is from the annotation of a GenBank genome assembly.
CAUGCCAACUCACCAAAUGAGGGGAGGCGCAGGGGCCGUUCUCCAUCAGCUUCACGCUCCUCCUCGGACUCCUCCUCCUCUCCGGAAUCGCCCUGGAGCCUCCCAGCUCCCAGGGGGGCUGCAACCGACACGGCCUCCCGACCGCCGGCAUCCUGGCAGCCCUGCAACCUUGGGGCUGCCGCCUGAUCCGCAGCACCCCUUGAACUGCCCGGUCCUGGGGACUACCAUCUCCUUGGGGCUGCUGUCCGGGUCACAGCACUCCUAUUUCCGGUCUCUUCAGCCGGCGCCUGCCAUCUCCUGGCGCCCGGCCUCCUAUUUCCGUUGCGGGCACCCACUUCCGGGUUUUGCCCGUCGCCGGCAGAUGAGGUCACAUCCGGCGCGCCGGCCGUGCGUGACCGGCAUCGUGAUGUCACUUCCGGCCGCGCCGGAAGAGAAGGCGGCGGGCUCCUCGACCUUCCCGCCAUGCCGCCAUCUUGGGAAUGGCCGCCGGAGGCCACCGCAACCCUCACCUGGGACCGGACCGCACGGGGGGGGGACCCAAGGCUCAGCUCCACAUCACCAGCCACACCAGUCCGCCUGCGCCUGCGGCCUUCUCGCUCUCCUCUCACCGGGCUGGGAGACAGUCGCGACGGCGGCCUUGAACGCCUGGCCCGCCGCCCCUCAUCCACUGGCCUUGCCUCUUCACCUGGGACACCGUCCAUGCCGGCCAACACCGCUGCCAACGAGCCUGCACCAUGUGCAGCCCGGUAAGCCUGCAACAGGGCCACCAAUGAUUCCUGGGAAACUUCCAUCACCCUCAGAAAUUCAGGAAAAACAGGUAAGGUGAAAUUCUGAAGAAUAAUAGUGUUCUUUUUUUUUUUUUUUUUAAAUGGGUCAGCAAAUAAGGACAGAUGAAAGUCAGGAUCCCUGCACUUCCAAAAGCUGACUGGUAAGUCCCCUCCCCUAACUGUGCUUAUAACUGUCUUCCAUAUUAGCAACUAUGUAUCCAUCUAUACCCCUCCCUUCCACUACUCCUUCAAGACUCCUUAACCUAGCCGCAGUCAUGUCCCCCCUUCCUUGUCAGUCCAGGGAGGUGUCU